AGUUUGCCGUUUUGUAUUCAUUAAACAAGUUUUAUGAUUAGGUUUUCAGAGUUCUUCUUCUUCGACCCUCACAAUCCCUGCUUCUUUUCCUAAGCCUGUAAAAAGAUGAGUCUCUAUCAACUCUUUACCUCCCGUCUUUUCAUAUCUAUCAAUUCUUUUAAUUGUGUUCAACGUAUACCUCUUAAAGUUUACAAUAAAUAUUUUUUUUCAUUAAAUUCAAUUACAAUCUUAAACUCUCCAUCUCCCUUCGGAUACAAUGAAACGGAAAAUUUACUUCAACCUCUAUAAAUUGGGAGAGGGUUGAUAGCAGGAUGGAUCUUCACAGGCGCUAUCAGCUUAUUUUCUAUCUUCAAUUGGAGAUGGAGCUGCUCAUCCUCGACGAACAGCGCCUACCUCAAAACACAACACUAGAUGAUGAGUAAACCGGCGCCCAGGAGACCUCCGCAAUGUGAUGUAGAUGAUCGGAGGACACUGAAGAAGAAGAAGAAGAAGCCUGCAAAAAUGUCAGAGGAUGCUAAAGCAUUGAGCAUGAUUUGACAAAUGUUCAAGUACUGCUUCAUUAGUGUUUCUCCUGCCACUCAUGAGUUUUGUAUUGUUUUAAUCUCAGUACUGAUCUUUAUGCUGGACGUGACUAUGAUGACCGAGACAUGGAAGCGGGAUUUGACGAUAUCAUGAAGGAAGAGAGUCGAAGUGCGAGAAUCGCCAAAGGAGGAAGAUGAAAUGGAAGCAAAGCUGAUCGCAGAAGAAGAAGAGCGAGAGUGACAGAGAAAGUUGUGGAGGCUGAGGCGUUAAGAAAAAAAGUUAGAAGAAACCUUUUGAUCUUUGUCUUCUUUUUAUAUAUAUGACUUAGAGUUUAAUCUUUAGUGCUUCUCUCGCUCAAAUCUCUUUGACCGCUUGAGGCACAAGAGAUUUUUAACUUUCUUUUUUCAAAUUAAGAAUCUUUUGUUCUUGAAACUCUACAAUUAGGUUAUAGAUUGGUUGAGUCACUUGAGGAAUCUGUUGAUGAACUUCCAAAGUUGGUGAAAGCUUGAUUCUUUUUCUUUGUAUAAAACCACAGAAUGAUAAAAGAGUAAAAGAAUAUAUCUUUAUUAA
Molecule: long non-coding RNA, 1092 nt
Organism: Raphanus sativus (radish)
Lineage: Eukaryota; Viridiplantae; Streptophyta; Magnoliopsida; Brassicales; Brassicaceae
Exons: 4
Source: RefSeq, a predicted model, not a curated record